AACGAACGCUGGCGGCAGGCCUAACACAUGCAAGUCGAACGAGAACUCUCCUUCGGGAGAGGGACAGUGGCAGACGGGUGAGUAACGCGUGGGAAUCUACCCUAAGGUUUGGGACAACCAUUAGAAAUGAUGGCUAAUACCGAAUGUGACUAGUGUCUUUAGCGGAUGCUAGAGAAAGAUUUAUCGCCUUGGGAUGAGCCCGCGUCAGAUUAGUUUGUUGGUGAGGUAACGGCUCACCAAGACCGCGAUCUGUAGCUGGUCUGAGAGGAUGAUCAGCCACAUUGGGACUGAGACACGGCCCAGACUCCUACGGGAGGCAGCAGUGGGGAAUAUUGCACAAUGGACGCAAGUCUGAUGCAGCCAUGCCGCGUGA
RNAcentral lists this ribosomal RNA (373 nucleotides) under uncultured bacterium. RNAcentral's name for it is "bacterial SSU rRNA". It matches the Rfam family "Bacterial small subunit ribosomal RNA", at positions 29 to 404 of the family's 1533-position model. The record is from RNAcentral.